This 302-nucleotide long non-coding RNA is filed under the name Vigna radiata. Its description in RNAcentral is "long non-coding RNA (VRAD_LNC014405)". Lineage: Eukaryota; Viridiplantae; Streptophyta; Magnoliopsida; Fabales; Fabaceae. The record is from RNAcentral.
CUAAUUGGUCAUAUAAACUAGUUUGGAAUGUUAGCUGAACACUAGAAUCAAUGCAUCUCAAUUUGACUAGUUUUGAAAGUCACCAAUCAGAAAAAAAUACAAAAUCUGCUAUUCAUUGUGGCAUUUCAUCAAACAGUUUGAAAUUUGCAUCAAACACUUUCAUGGCACACAGUUUUCUCACUGUAUUGAGUCUUUUCUUGCUUGUUUAAUCUAUUCUAGACCCUCUCCUAGGAUACUUUUGCGUACCACCUCUGUUUCCAGCUCCAUAAUUCAUUAGAAAUCACUUUAUUUGUUAUUCUACU